AUAGAAGACCAUCAUGAGUGAGUGUUUUUUUGUUGGUUGUCAAAGCAUAAUGUGCAACAAAUCAUGAACAAGUGACAUAUGGCAGGUAUAGUCAUAUGUAAAUCGCCUGCAAAGUUGCCCUUUUCUGGGUAUUUACCAUUACCCAUCAUGAUUAAGGUAAUAUCAGUUAUAGUAAGGCCUACACAAUGAAGUUUAUGGCAGGAGAUUCUGAUUCUGAAUGGACGUAUUGCUUUCAUAAUUCAUCCAAACAUAAUCAUGUUCAAGCAUUGAUGUUGGUGUCAGUGAAAUGAGUCCCGAAUUUGUGUUUGUAAUGUUCAUGACCAAUUGUGUGCAAUAAAAGAAACAUGUGAGAUU
This is a long non-coding RNA of Rhinichthys klamathensis goyatoka, 354 nucleotides long. RefSeq lists it as uncharacterized. The record is from RefSeq and is a predicted model, not a curated record. The transcript is spliced from 2 exons. NCBI's taxonomy places the organism in Eukaryota, Metazoa, Chordata, Actinopteri, Cypriniformes, Leuciscidae.